Long non-coding RNA from Topomyia yanbarensis, 1648 nucleotides. RefSeq lists it as uncharacterized. NCBI's taxonomy places the organism in Eukaryota, Metazoa, Arthropoda, Insecta, Diptera, Culicidae. The transcript is spliced from 2 exons. The record is from RefSeq and is a predicted model, not a curated record.
ACCAUAAGAUUAAUUUAAUUACUGUUUUAAAUUUCAAUUUCUUCUUUUGUUUUAGAAAUUGAGUGUUGUAACCGCUGGUUACAAUAUUGAUUGUUGGCUUUGCCAAAAUGAAAAAAAAUACUCUAGAGUUGCUCAAUUAGUUCCACCAAUCCAUCUUAAGUCCUACCCUAGCUAUGCAGUACUGUCAACUGUGUGAGUGGUAGUCCUCCAAGUCUGACGUUUACGUCUGGGACGGAGGAGUCACUCCUGCAGGAACACUCUCAGUAGGGUACUCAAUCACAACGGUGUGAUCAAGUAAUGUCGCGCAACAUGUCAUUCAUCGCUGUUGCAGUCAUGGGAAGGGCUGCCAAAAGUGGACAAGGUAAAUGUCAGAUCGGAUGACAUCGCGAAAAUUUAAGUUUACUCGGUAUCAUCCGGCCUUAGCCACACUCAGCUACCGCCAAGAACAUUCUUUCUGCUCCCAACGCCCGAAGAAAUCAGAAGUGCGCGCGGUUUUACUGAAAUUAAUAUCAGAUUAGCAGAUUAAAAAUGAGGCGAAUAUACAUAGUGAUAAUUAAAUCGGGUCAAGUGAAUUAAAAGGUGUUAGUACGGUUAGUUGUCAUAAAAUUAUUAAAAUGUAUUAUCUUAGGGCUAAUCGUUAAAAUUAAAUAUAUUGUUAAACAGUGUUCCCAAUACGAAAAGCAUGACAUGGAAAGCACGGAACAUACAAUUUAAAAAAGAGUCAAAAAGGUAAAAUUCUAAAAUGAAACGGGUAAAACGUUGGUGUAGGUUCAGUUGUAAAAACACGUGACACAUACGCUAAUUUCUACUGGGCAGGUCCCCAGUGGACCUUUUUGUUUCCGGCUUCGGAUUUCGUCCGAAGAAUAUUUUCACAGGAGAGAUUCCUCGACCGCCUACUACGCAGCGGACAGAUCACGAUCGGGAGUGCCGUGAGUCCCUGCAACCAGAAUCGAAGGUUGGACGUGCUAGACAAUUCGUCACCAUAUUGUCGUCAGCAUCUUCAACAAAGAUCGGUAAGCAGUUCGUUUCCGGUCAAUACCACAACCACGAUAAUCGACACCCCGGAAGGAUCGAAGCGUCCACUAUAAGCGGUCACAGAUCCGCCAUUGCUGUUCUCGUCGGCUAUACGCUAUGCCGCCAUCGCACACCCUACACCAACAAAUAAAAUCCGCAAGUAGAAAUAGGAUAAUGUGACGUCACUUAGAUUUAAGGACAUGUGUUAGGGUAAAAUAAAUUGUACAUGUAAUUAAGAAUUGAGCUUCGUUCAAGAUUAACAUUGUCCGUAUAUUUACACCACAAUUUGAUUCGAGCUCCGGACUCGAAAGGAGUCGUCAGCCCUCGUCUUCAGGUGUUCUAUUUGAAAGAAGGUUCAAGGUUUCGCUGGUGUGAUCUGUUAUGUAUAGCGCGUACCUUUUGGGUCUUCACCUUGGUUGCCUGCAGCAAUGAAUGGUCCGUUUUCCCGUAGUUCCCAACGUGAAUGAGUCCCGUGGUGAGUAUGUGUACGCACAAAACGAGUACCAGCAGAAUUCCCCUCCAACCCCCCACUGAACUAGUCUAGAGGUUACAAAAUGGCGCCCAACUUCAAAUACCCACAAAAUUUUGAAUUCUUCAAAACUCCCCGAAGGGGAAGCAAAAAACAGCACGCUGU